UUUCUUGUAUUUAUCCAUAUUCCCAACGUAAUCUAUCCUUCUCAACUACAGAAGGUAAAUCAAUUCCUUUUUAUACAAUACAGCUCUUUAAAUCUUGUAAGAGAGCCAUAAUGUUACUCCUAUGGCUUUUUUCCCCCCUGGGUUAAAUAUCCCCAGGAACUUUCUUCAUUUUUCCUAAGAGUAUUUCUCUAAAUCCUUUGUUGUCCUGCUCACUCCCCUCUCCUUGAUCUCCAGCUUAUUAAUGCCCUCUUUCUUUCUUUCUUUUUUAUUUUUAUUUGAGAGAGGGAUAGAGAGCAAGUGGGGGAGGGACAGACAGAGAGAGAGACAGAAUUCCAAGCAGGCUCUGUGCUGUCAGCACAGAGCCCCACUGAGGGCUUGAUCUCACCAACUGUGAGAUCAUGACCUGAGCCGAAAUCAAGAGUCGGACACUCAAUCAACUGAGCCACCCAGGUGCCCCACGCCUUUCUUGACUUGAUGAAAUCAGGACUGAGGAAAACGCAGGAUUUGCAUACCACCGCCGCCACUGCACUGGGCAAUUUUCAACAGAGGAAAUCCAAAGUGGGACUGAGAGAGUACAGCUUCUGGAAUGAGUACACUCCCUCACAAAGUGACCACUGCAAAGGGAUAACACUCCUUGUGAUGGAUAACAAUAUAUCUACUAAGGCACAAGAGGUUGGGGCAUAAAAGUGGAAAGGGAUUGUGUUUCCAUGGCUCCUUGAGGUUCAGUGUGAUCUUGUGACUCCUUUUGCCAACAAAAUGUGAGUAGAGGUGCCAUGUGAUGUUUUGGGACUGAAGUACUUCAUUACCCAUGUGAGAGUGCCCAGUGCACUCCUUUCCUGCUUUGUGACUGGGUGCUAUGAGUCUGCAAACUGGUCCCCCAUACAUCGAGAGCAAGGAAAGAUGAUGAGGAAGACCACUCCAGAUUGGUAGGUGGAAGCUUGUUUUUUGUUUUUUGUUUUUUGUUUUAACUUUCUUUUGAGAAGGAAAGAGACUGUGCCUGCGAAGGCAAGUUGUGGAGGGGCAGAGAGAGGGAAGGAAUCCUGGGCAAGCUCCUCAUGGUCAGUGUAGGGCCACAUGCGGGGGCUCGAAUCCAGGAACCAUGAGAUCAUGACCUGAGCUGAAGUGGGACGCUUAACUGACUAAGCCACCCAGGUGC
This 1156-nucleotide long non-coding RNA is filed under the name Felis catus (domestic cat). RNAcentral describes it as "lncRNA (ENSFCAG00000048282.1)". The record is from RNAcentral. Lineage: Eukaryota; Metazoa; Chordata; Mammalia; Carnivora; Felidae.